This 253-nucleotide ribosomal RNA is filed under the name uncultured bacterium. RNAcentral describes it as "partial 16S ribosomal RNA". It matches the Rfam family "Bacterial small subunit ribosomal RNA", at positions 524 to 776 of the family's 1533-position model. The record is from RNAcentral.
UACGAAGGGUGCAAGCGUUACUCGGAAUUAUUGGGCGUAAAGAGCUCGUAGGCGGUUUGUCGCGUCUGCUGUGAAAACUCGGGGCUUAACUCCGGGCCUGCAGUGGGUACGGGCAGACUAGAGUGCGGUAGGGGAGACUGGAAUUCCUGGUGUAGCGGUGAAAUGCGCAGAUAUCAGGAGGAACACCGGUGGCGAAGGCGGGUCUCUGGGCCGUAACUGACGCUGAGGAGCGAAAGCGUGGGGAGCGAACAGG